RNAcentral lists this ribosomal RNA (482 nucleotides) under uncultured bacterium. RNAcentral's name for it is "partial 16S ribosomal RNA". It matches the Rfam family "Bacterial small subunit ribosomal RNA", at positions 28 to 507 of the family's 1533-position model. The record is from RNAcentral.
GAUGAACGCUAGCGGCAGGCCUAAUACAUGCAAGUCGGACGGGAUUCAGGAGCUUGCUUCUGAUGAGAGUGGCGCACGGGUGCGUAACACGUAUGUAACCUACCUUUAUCAGGGGGAUAGCCUCUCGAAAGAGGGAUUAAGCCCGCAUAAAAUCACAGCACAGCAUUGUGUAAUGAUCAAAUAUUUAUAGGAUAAAGAUGGGCAUGCGGAACAUUAGCUAGAUGGCGGGGUAACGGCCCACCAUGGCGACGAUGUUUAGGGGAUCUGAGAGGAUGGCCCCCCACACUGGUACUGAGACACGGACCAGACUCCUACGGGAGGCAGCAGUAAGGAAUAUUGGUCAAUGGGCGGAAGCCUGAACCAGCCAUGCCGCGUGCAGGAAGACGGCCCUACGGGUUGUAAACUGCUUUUAUACGGGAAUAAACCCAGAUACGUGUAUCUGGCUGAAUGUACUGUAAGAAUAAGGAUCGGCUAACUCCGUG